AGGAUGAACGCUGGCGGCGUGCCUAAUACAUGCAAGUCGAGCGGCAGCGCGGUCUUCGGACUGGCGGCGAGCGGCGGACGGCUGAGUAACACGUAGGAACGUACCCCAAAGUGAGGGAUAAGCACCAGAAAUGGUGUCUAAUACCGCAUGUGCUCUAAGGAGUAAAGCUUCGGCGCUUUGGGAACGGCCUGCGCAUGAUUAGCUUGUUGGUGAGGUAAUGGCUCACCAAGGCGACGAUCAUUAGCUGGUCUGAGAGGAUGAUCAGCCAGACUGGGACUGAGAACGGCCCAGACUCCUACGGGAGGCAGCAGUAGGGAAUUUUCCACAAUGGGC
This 333-nucleotide ribosomal RNA is filed under the name uncultured bacterium. Its description in RNAcentral is "SSU rRNA". It matches the Rfam family "Bacterial small subunit ribosomal RNA", at positions 26 to 376 of the family's 1533-position model. The record is from RNAcentral.